This 554-nucleotide ribosomal RNA is filed under the name Gloeochaete wittrockiana. Its description in RNAcentral is "partial Bacterial large subunit ribosomal RNA". It matches the Rfam family "Bacterial large subunit ribosomal RNA", at positions 1914 to 2466 of the family's 2925-position model. Lineage: Eukaryota; Glaucocystophyceae; Gloeochaetales; Gloeochaetaceae. The record is from RNAcentral.
GAAGCCCAGGUAAACGGCGGCCGUAACAAUAACGGUCCUAAGGUAGCGAAAUUCCUUGUCGGGUAAGUUCCGACCUGCACGAAUGGCGUAACGACUUCCCCACUGUCUCCAGCAUAGGCUCAGUGAAAUUGAAUUCCCCGUGAAGAUGCGGGGUUCCCGCGGUCAGACGGAAAGACCCUAUGAACCUUUACUAUAGCUUCGCCUUGGCGUUAGCGACCGUAUGUGUAGGAUAGGUGGGAGACUAUGAAACCGGGGCGCCAGCUCUGGUGGAGUCGUCCUUGAAAUACCACCCUUACUGUCGUUGACGUCUAACCGAGGGCCGUUAUCCGGUCCCGGGACAUGGCGUGGUGGGUAGUUUGACUGGGGCGGUCGCCUCCUAAAGAGUAACGGAGGCGCGCGAUGGUAGGCUCAGGACGGUUGGAAACCGUCUGCGAGAGUGCAAUGGCAUAAGCCUGCCUGACUGCGAGACUGACGAGUCGAGCAGAGACGAAAGUCGGUCAUAGUGAUCCGGUGGUCCCGAGUGGAAGGGCCAUCGCUCAACGGAUAAAAGGUAC